This 164-nucleotide small nuclear RNA is filed under the name Rhipicephalus sanguineus (brown dog tick). RNAcentral describes it as "U1 spliceosomal RNA". It matches the Rfam family "U1 spliceosomal RNA". Rfam says of the family: U1 is a small nuclear RNA (snRNA) component of the spliceosome (involved in pre-mRNA splicing). Its 5' end forms complementary base pairs with the 5' splice junction, thus defining the 5' donor site of an intron. The record is from Rfam by way of RNAcentral. Lineage: Eukaryota; Metazoa; Arthropoda; Arachnida; Ixodida; Ixodidae.
AUACUUACCUGGUGCCGGGAUUACCGUGAUCAGCUAGGCGGUGUCCCCAGGGAGAGGCGCGGGCAUUGCACUGCGCUCGUGCUGACCCCUGCCACUACCCCAAACUGGGGCAGAUGGGGCAUGCAAUUUUUGGUAGUGGGGGACUGCGUUCGCGCUAUCCCCCC